AGAGUAUAACAAUAAUAGUACUACCCUGUAGUAAAAAGAUAUGAUUUAUGCAAUUGUGUUUUUUGUCUAUUAUAGCCAAUAAUAAUUAUUAACUAAAAUAUAAUAAGAUAACUAACCGAGAAAUCAACAAAGUUAAAACUAUGAUAACAUUUUUUUUAAAUUUAAUUUUAUAGGCCAAAUUUGGGAAUUAAGACUCAAAAAAACUAAAGUACUUUCCAUCUGGAAAAAAUCCACUUCUUUUAAGA
Molecule: non-coding RNA, 245 nt
Organism: Cinara cedri
Lineage: Eukaryota; Metazoa; Arthropoda; Insecta; Hemiptera; Aphididae
Source: the annotation of a GenBank genome assembly